AACAGUGUUGCUAUGACAACCCGGAGUCGCUUGACGGUUGGUCUCUGGAAUUGGCCUGGCCUGAGGUUGCCAGACCCUGGAAGCAGAGGCGAACUCAAGGCCAAAACUCUAAAGAUGUGAGAACUGCCCCAGGAUCUAUCUUGCAACCUGAGUGAGUCACUGUUUCCUGCCAUCUACACCACUGAGUCAAUUGGCCACUGAUGACAGCCCAGUCCUGUAUGCCACUGCGCAGUAAAGGGUUGACUUAGCAGACCUGGAUUGCUCAAACCCUGCACAUUCCAGACAGACCUGGCCAUUUCCCGUGAUUCUGGGGGAUCAUCUCUAAACCUUGGAAUGCCCUGCCUAGUAAAUCUUGUGUACCUGGUAGGCUAUGUCAACAAUAUUAGUGAUAGCAUGAACCUUAGGUCACACUAUCAAAUUGAUCUCUAGGGCAGCUGGAGACUAAGUUCAUUAAGUUAAGUUGCUAUAUGUUUCUGUUGCUGCUUUCCAAAUAAAAACCCUGGAGAAGCCAAA
Long non-coding RNA from Rattus norvegicus (Norway rat), 513 nucleotides. RefSeq annotates it as KH homology domain-containing protein 1-like. NCBI's taxonomy places the organism in Eukaryota, Metazoa, Chordata, Mammalia, Rodentia, Muridae. The record is from RefSeq and is a predicted model, not a curated record.